Mesocricetus auratus (golden hamster) is the source of this 45-nucleotide non-coding RNA. The record is from Rfam. Lineage: Eukaryota; Metazoa; Chordata; Mammalia; Rodentia; Cricetidae.
CCAAAGGCCCUUUUCAGGGCCCCCAAAGGAUCGGGAAGGAGCUGG